This 359-nucleotide ribosomal RNA is filed under the name uncultured bacterium. RNAcentral's name for it is "partial 16S ribosomal RNA". It matches the Rfam family "Bacterial small subunit ribosomal RNA", at positions 355 to 706 of the family's 1533-position model. The record is from RNAcentral.
UGGGGAAUAUUGCACAAUGGGCGCAAGCCUGAUGCAGCCAUGCCGCGUGUAUGAAGAAGGCCUUCGGGUUGUAAAGUACUUUCAGCGGGGAGGAAGGUGUUGAGGUUAAUAACCUCAGCAAUUGACGUUACCCGCAGAAGAAGCACCGGCUAACUCCGUGCCAGCAGCCGCGGUAAUACGGAGGGUGCAAGCGUUAAUCGGAAUUACUGGGCGUAAAGCGCACGCAGGCGGUCUGUCAAGUCGGAUGUGAAAUCCCCGGGCUCAACCUGGGAACUGCAUUCGAAACUGGCAGGCUAGAGUCUUGUAGGGGGUGGUAGAAUUCCAGGUGUAGCGGUGAAAUGCGUAGAGAUCUGGAGGAA